Molecule: ribosomal RNA, 437 nt
Filed under: uncultured Clostridium sp.
Lineage: Bacteria; Bacillati; Bacillota; Clostridia; Eubacteriales; Clostridiaceae
Also listed under: 1 other name
Description: partial 16S ribosomal RNA
Rfam family: Bacterial small subunit ribosomal RNA
Source: RNAcentral
ACGGGAGGCAGCAGUGGGGAAUAUUGGGCAAUGGGCGCAAGCCUGACCCAGCGACGCCGCGUGAAGGAAGAAGGUCUUCGGAUUGUAAACUUCUGUUGUAAAGGACGAAAAAAAUGACGGUACUUUACGAGGAAGCCACGGCUAACUACGUGCCAGCAGCCGCGGUAAUACGUAGGUGGCGAGCGUUAUCCGGAUUUACUGGGUGUAAAGGGUGUGUAGGCGGGAAGGCAAGUCAGAUGUGAAAAUUAUGGGCUUAACUCAUAACCUGCAUUUGAAACUGCUUUUCUUGAGAGUCGGAGAGGUAAAUGGAAUUCCCAGUGUAGCGGUGAAAUGCGUAGAUAUUGGGAGGAACACCAGUGGCGAAGGCGAUUUACUGGACGACAACUGACGCUGAUACACGAAAGCGUGGGGAGCAAACAGGAUUAGAUACCCUGGUA